This 507-nucleotide ribosomal RNA is filed under the name uncultured bacterium. Its description in RNAcentral is "partial 16S ribosomal RNA". It matches the Rfam family "Bacterial small subunit ribosomal RNA", at positions 355 to 878 of the family's 1533-position model. The record is from RNAcentral.
UGGGGAAUAUUGGACAAUGGGCGCAAGCCUGAUCCAGCCAUGCCGCGUGAGUGAUGAAGGGCCCUAGGGUUGUAAAGCUCUUUCAAGCGAGGAGGAUAAUGACGUUACUCGCAGAAGAAGCCCCGGCUAACUUCGUGCCAGCAGCCGCGGUAAUACGAAGGGGGGCUAGCGUUGUUCGGAAUCACUGGGCGUAAAGCGCACGUAGGCGGACUUUUAAGUCAGGGGUGAAAUCCCGGGGCUCAACCUCGGAACUGCCUUUGAUACUGGAAGUCUGGAGUCCGAGAGAGGUGAGUGGAACUCCGAGUGUAGAGGUGAAAUUCGUAGAUAUUCGGAAGAACACCAGUGGCGAAGGCGGCUCACUGGCUCGGUACUGACGCUGAGGUGCGAAAGCGUGGGGAGCAAACAGAUUAGAUACCCUGGUAGUCACGCCGUAAACGAUGGAAGCUAGCCGUCAGGGUGCAUGCAUCUUGGGUGGCGCAGUUAACGCAUUAAGCUUCCCGCCUGGGG